UACGGAAGGGGGCUAGCGUUGUUCGGAAUUACUGGGCGUAAAGGGCGCGUAGGCGGUACUUCAAGUCAGGCCGUGAAAGCCCCGGGCUCAACCUGGGAACCGCGCUUGAGACUGGAGAACUAGAGUUCGGGAGAGGAUGGUGGAAUUCCCAGUGUAGAGGUGAAAUUCGUAGAUAUUGGGAAGAACACCGGUGGCGAAGGCGGCCUUCUGGACAGUGACUGACGCUGAGACGCGAAAGCGUGGGGAGCAAACAGG
Molecule: ribosomal RNA, 255 nt
Filed under: uncultured bacterium
Lineage: Bacteria
Description: partial 16S ribosomal RNA
Rfam family: Bacterial small subunit ribosomal RNA
Source: RNAcentral